This 534-nucleotide long non-coding RNA is filed under the name Fukomys damarensis (Damara mole-rat). Its description in RNAcentral is "lncRNA (ENSFDAG00000022795.1)". Lineage: Eukaryota; Metazoa; Chordata; Mammalia; Rodentia; Bathyergidae. The record is from RNAcentral.
CAUUCCUCCCCCUUUGCCACUCCCUCUUGUAAAACUUUAUAAAUUGCUGGCUGAAGUUAUUAAAAGCAGAAGCGUUCCAGAAACCUCCCUGGAGUCUGCUUGGCGAUUCCACGCCUUGCCCUCCCCGUCCGAGGCCCUGAACCUUUGCUCCAGGAGCGGGAUUGUGGACAAGAGCAGGAAGGCAAGCAGCAGAACCACUGAGCAAAUCCCCGGCCCUAACAUUCUUUUGAGUCAUCUUCAUAGAGCAUCCUCUUCUCUGACGGGAAUCUGAAUGUUUGAUGCUUUCUCCAAAUUCAGCUCUCUUGGCUGUCUCAGGUGGGGAUGCAGGACAAGGAACGAUCCGCAUAUCGCCGACCGUCCACACCGUCGCAGGACAGGCUGAGCUCAGGAGGGUGAGCACCCGAAAGCCGGUUUCAGGUACGUUAACACGUAUGGGUAAAAUGCGUUAUAAAGGGGCAGGGGAAUGGACUGCUGUGGGCCAAGGAGCCCCAGGCUACUUUACAUGCAAACCUCUUCCUCCUCCCUCCUUCCCAC